UAAAAGGUAGGCUAUAUUUAAGCCUAUAGGCUCAUAACCUAUCGAAAAGAUUAAUCUUCCUUUUAA
This 66-nucleotide transfer RNA is filed under the name Plegadiphilus threskiornis. Its description in RNAcentral is "tRNA-Met". The record is from RNAcentral. Lineage: Eukaryota; Metazoa; Arthropoda; Insecta; Psocodea; Menoponidae.